RNAcentral lists this long non-coding RNA (327 nucleotides) under Helianthus annuus (common sunflower). Its description in RNAcentral is "sRNA HanXRQr2_Chr02g0064471". The record is from RNAcentral. Lineage: Eukaryota; Viridiplantae; Streptophyta; Magnoliopsida; Asterales; Asteraceae.
UUGUUCACUUGUAGCAUGUAUUCAAUUACAUUAUGCAAAUGUGGCUGCAAGAAAGAAGGACGAACUUCGAUUAGCUGAACAAAAGCCGAACAAACCUAUCCACCAUGUGGGUAAUUAUUAUUAAUGAUGAAUAGCAGCACUCCAGAACAACACAAUUCGAAUAACCAAUAAAAAACUAAAACUGCGGAGCUCGUUUUGAGUUAAAAAAGGUAAAGUUGCACAAAACUGCGGCUGAUCACAACAACCAUGAAACAAAUAACAACACAAAAAUAGAAUACUUUUUUUAAAGAAAUCCUACUGAAAGAGUAAAGAUUUAAAAUGUCAAGG